GACGAACGCUGGCGGCGUGCCUAAUACAUGCAAGUCGAACGAGAGCGACCGGUGCUUGCACUGGUCAAUCUAGUGGCGAACGGGUGAGUAACACGUGGGUAACCUGCUCAUCAGAGGGGGAUAACAUCCGGAAACGGAUGCUAAAACCGCAUAGGUCUUCGAGCCGCAUGGCUUGAAGAGGAAAAGAGGCGCAAGCUUCUGCUGAUGGAUGGACCCGCGGUGCAUUAGCUAGUUGGUGAGGUAACGGCUCACCAAGGCCGUGAUGCAUAGCCGACCUGAGAGGGUGAUCGGCCACAUUGGGACUGAGACACGGCCCAAACUCCUACGGGAGGCAGCAGUAGGGAAUCUUCCGCAAUGGACGCAAGUCUGACGGAGCAACGCCGCGUGAGUGAAGAAGGUUUUCGGAUCGUAAAACUCUGUUGUUAGAGAAGAACAAGUGCUAGAGUAACUGUUAGCGCCUUGACGGUAUCUAAACAGAAAGCCACGGCUAACUACGUG
RNAcentral lists this ribosomal RNA (498 nucleotides) under uncultured bacterium. RNAcentral describes it as "partial 16S ribosomal RNA". It matches the Rfam family "Bacterial small subunit ribosomal RNA", at positions 28 to 507 of the family's 1533-position model. The record is from RNAcentral.